AUUGAACGCUGGCGGCAUGCCUUACACAUGCAAGUCGAACGGCAGCACGGGAGCUUGCUCCUGGUGGCGAGUGGCGAACGGGUGAGUAAUGCAUCGGAACGUGCCCUGAAGUGGGGGAUAACGUAGCGAAAGUUACGCUAAUACCGCAUAUUCUGUGAGCAGGAAAGCAGGGGAUCUUCGGACCUUGCGCUUUUUGGAGCGGCCGAUGUCGGAUUAGCUAGUUGGUGGGGUAAAGGCCCACCAAGGCGACGAUCCGUAGCGGGUCUGAGAGGAUGAUCCGCCACACUGGAACUGAGACACGGUCCAGACUCCUACGGGAGGCAGCAGUGGGGAAUUUUGGACAAUGGGCGCAAGCCCUGACUCCGACGCCAUCGCCGCGUGAGU
RNAcentral lists this ribosomal RNA (384 nucleotides) under uncultured bacterium. RNAcentral describes it as "bacterial SSU rRNA". It matches the Rfam family "Bacterial small subunit ribosomal RNA", at positions 30 to 406 of the family's 1533-position model. The record is from RNAcentral.